RNAcentral lists this ribosomal RNA (1487 nucleotides) under Lactiplantibacillus plantarum. RNAcentral's name for it is "bacterial SSU rRNA". It matches the Rfam family "Bacterial small subunit ribosomal RNA". The record is from RNAcentral. Lineage: Bacteria; Bacillati; Bacillota; Bacilli; Lactobacillales; Lactobacillaceae.
GACGACGCUGGCGGCGUGCCUAAUACAUGCAAGUCCGAACGAACUCUGGUAUUGAUUGGUGCUUGCAUCAUGAUUUACAUUUGAGUGAGUGGCGAACUGGUGAGUAACACGUGGGAAACCUGCCCAGAAGCGGGGGAUAACACCUGGAAACAGAUGCUAAUACCGCAUAACAACUUGGACCGCAUGGUCCGAGCUUGAAAGAUGGCUUCGGCUAUCACUUUUGGAUGGUCCCGCGGCGUAUUAGCUAGAUGGUGGGGUAACGGCUCACCAUGGCAAUGAUACGUAGCCGACCUGAGAGGGUAAUCGGCCACAUUGGGACUGAGACACGGCCCAAACUCCUACGGGAGGCAGCAGUAGGGAAUCUUCCACAAUGGACGAAAGUCUGAUGGAGCAACGCCGCGUGAGUGAAGAAGGGUUUCGGCUCGUAAAACUCUGUUGUUAAAGAAGAACAUAUCUGAGAGUAACUGUUCAGGUAUUGACGGUAUUUAACCAGAAAGCCACGGCUAACUACGUGCCAGCAGCCGCGGUAAUACGUAGGUGGCAAGCGUUGUCCGGAUUUAUUGGGCGUAAAGCGAGCGCAGGCGGUUUUUUAAGUCUGAUGUGAAAGCCUUCGGCUCAACCGAAGAAGUGCAUCGGAAACUGGGAAGACUUGAGUGCAGAAGAGGACAGUGGAACUCCAUGUGUAGCGGUGAAAUGCGUAGAUAUAUGGAAGAACACCAGUGGCGAAGGCGGCUGUCUGGUCUGUAACUGACGCUGAGGCUCGAAAGUAUGGGUAGCAAACAGGAUUAGAUACCCUGGUAGUCCAUACCGUAAACGAUGAAUGCUAAGUGUUGGAGGGUUUCCGCCCUUCAGUGCUGCAGCUAACGCAUUAAGCAUUCCGCCUGGGGAGUACGGCCGCAAGGCUGAAACUCAAAGGAAUUGACGGGGGCCCGCACAAGCGGUGGAGCAUGUGGUUUAAUUCGAAGCUACGCGAAGAACCUUACCAGGUCUUGACAUACUAUGCAAAUCUAAGAGAUUAGACGUUCCCUUCGGGGACAUGGAUACAGGUGGUGCAUGGUUGUCGUCAGCUCGUGUCGUGAGAUGUUGGGUUAAGUCCCGCAACGAGCGCAACCCUUAUUAUCAGUUGCCAGCAUUAAGUUGGGCACUCUGGUGAGACUGCCGGUGACAAACCGGAGGAAGGUGGGGAUGACGUCAAAUCAUCAUGCCCCUUAUGACCUGGGCUACACACGUGCUACAAUGGAUGGUACAACGAGUUGCGAACUCGCGAGAGUAAGCUAAUCUCUUAAAGCCAUUCUCAGUUCGGAUUGUAGGCUGCAACUCGCCUACAUGAAGUCGGAAUCGCUAGUAAUCGCGGAUCAGCAUGCCGCGGUGAAUACGUUCCCGGGCCUUGUACACACCGCCCGUCACACCAUGAGAGUUUGUAACACCCAAAGUCGGUGGGGUAACCUUUUAGGAACCAGCCGCCUAAGGUGGGACAGAUGAUUAGG